GGGAGGCAGCAGUGGGGAAUUUUGGACAAUGGGCGAAAGCCUGAUCCAGCCAUACCGCGUGAGUGAAGAAGGCCUUCGGGUUGUAAAGCUCUUUCAGCCGGAAAGAAAUUGCUUCUAUUAAUACUAGGAGUAGAUGACGGUACCGGAAGAAGAAGCACCGGCUAACUACGUGCCAGCAGCCGCGGUAAUACGUAGGGUGCGAGCGUUUAUUGGAAUUAUUGGGGGUAAAGAGUGGGCGGGCGGUUUUUUAAGCCAGAUGUGAAAUCCCCGGGCUCAACCUGGGAAAUGCAUUUGGAAAUGGAAGAGUUGAGUGUAGCAGAGGGGGGUAGAAUUCCACGGGUAGCAGGGAAAUGCGUAGAUAUGUGGAGGAAAACCAAUGGGGAAGGCAGCCCCUUGGGUUAACACUGACGGUCAUUCAGGAAAGCGUGGGGGGCAAACCGGAUUAGAUACCCCGGUUGUUCACGCCCUAAAAGAUGUCAACUAGGUGUUGGGGGAGGAGACUUCCUUAGUACCGUAGCU
This 519-nucleotide ribosomal RNA is filed under the name uncultured beta proteobacterium. RNAcentral's name for it is "bacterial SSU rRNA". It matches the Rfam family "Bacterial small subunit ribosomal RNA", at positions 343 to 853 of the family's 1533-position model. The record is from RNAcentral. Lineage: Bacteria; Pseudomonadati; Pseudomonadota; Betaproteobacteria.